RNAcentral lists this ribosomal RNA (279 nucleotides) under uncultured bacterium. Its description in RNAcentral is "partial 16S ribosomal RNA". It matches the Rfam family "Bacterial small subunit ribosomal RNA", at positions 76 to 354 of the family's 1533-position model. The record is from RNAcentral.
UUGCUUUCUCCGCCGGCGACCGGCGCACGGGUGAGUAACACGUAUGCAACCUGCCCCUGUCAGGGGGACAACCCGCCGAAAGGCGGGCUAAACCCGCGUACAUGCCACCGGGGCAUCCCGGAGGCAGGAAAGGCUUCGGCCGGGCAGGGAUGGGCAUGCGGCGCAUUAGGCAGUAGGCGGGGUAACGGCCCACCUAACCGACGAUGCGUAGGGGUUCUGAGAGGAAGGUCCCCCACACUGGUACUGAGACACGGACCAGACUCCUACGGAAGGCAGCAG